This is an RNA transcript of Raphanus sativus (radish), 1892 nucleotides long. It is a transcript of the gene named cyclin-dependent kinase F-1-like, with no coding region annotated. Lineage: Eukaryota; Viridiplantae; Streptophyta; Magnoliopsida; Brassicales; Brassicaceae. The record is from RefSeq and is a predicted model, not a curated record. The transcript has 3 exons.
CAUCAUCGUCGUUAAAUCGGGAAAAGGAGGUUCUGUCCGAAAAAAGAACGACGCCGGCAGGAAGCACAAGGCGAUGGAUAAACAGCCGGCGAGCAGCUGGAGCAUCCACACCCGGCCGGAGGUAAUCGCCAAGUACGAGAUCUUCGAGCGAGUCGGAUCCGGAGCCUACGCCGACGUGUACCGAGCUCGCCGCAUCUCCGACGGUCUCACCGUCGCUCUCAAAGAGAUCUUCGACUACCAAUCGGCCUUCCGGGAGAUCGACGCCCUAUCGAUCCUCCACGGAUCUCCCAACGUCGUCGCUAUGCACGAGUACUUCUGGCGCGAGGACGAGAACGCAGUGAUCGUCCUCGAGUUCCUCAGGUCUGAUCUCUCCGCGGUGAUCCGUGACGCCAAGAGGAGGAAGAAGAAUAAAGGGGAUGGGCUCUCCGUUGGGGAGAUCAAGAGAUGGAUGGUUCAGAUUCUCAAUGGCGUUGAUGCUUGUCAUCGGAAUCUGAUCGUUCACAGAGAUUUAAAGCCUGGGAAUAUGUUGGUAGGUGAUGAUGGAGUGCUCAAGCUUGCUGAUUUUGGUCAGGCUAGGAUACUAAUGGAGCCUGAUGUCGUCGCCACAGAUGAGAACCAACUUGAAGAAGCCAGCAGGGAGCCACCGGAAGUGAUUCCUGAUUAUGUGAACUCGUCUCAGGGAGAACAGGAAGUGUUGAGUAAAGACGAGUACUUUCGGCAGGUGGAAGAGCUCAAGGCUAAGCAGGUUGUGAGAUACGACGACGACACAGAUAAGGACUCGAACGUGCCUGACGGAGACGCGUCUUGUCUCGCGACGUGUACCGUCAGUGAAAUGGAUGAUGAUUUCGGGAGGAACUCUUUUGCUUACGAUGCUGCUGAUGAGGAGGCGUUGGACGGAGGCGGAGAAGGUUUGAUGACGUCUUGCGUGGGGACCAGAUGGUUUAGACCACCGGAGCUUCUUUACGGGUCUACGGUGUAUGGGCUUGAGAUCGAUCUGUGGUCGCUUGGUUGCGUGUUCGCGGAACUCUUGUCUCUGGAGCCGUUGUUCCCUGGAGUUUCGGAUAUUGAUCAGAUCAGCAGAGUGACCAACGUGCUGGGGAAUUUAGACGAAGAGGUUUGGCCGGGCUGUGUCGAUCUUCCAGACUACAAGUCUAUCUCGUUUGCUAAAGUGGAGUCUCCUCUUGGUAUAGAAGGGUGUCUUCCCAACCAUUCAGGGGAUGUGAUAGCGCUGCUCAAGAAGCUUAUCUGUUACGAUCCAGCUAGUAGAGCUACUGCUGUGGAGUUGUUGAAUGAUAAAUAUUUUAAGGAAGAGCCUCUUCCUGUUCCAGUUUCAGAGCUAUAUGUGCCUCCGGCAAUGAGUGGGCCAGAUGAGGAGGAUUCUCCUAGGAAGUGGGAUGGUUACAGAGAAAUGGAUUCAGAUUCAGAUUUUGACGGCUUUGGUCCAGUGAAUGUGAAGCCUACAAGUAGUGGAUUCACAAUAGAGUUCCCCUGAACCUUUAUGGCUUUUUAAGGUAGGCGGUAAAAAGCUUUGCCUCUUUCUCCUUCGUACAGAUAUGUGUGUCUUUAAUACUAAUAGGCCUAGCCAGGAUUCAACAACCACUAAGAAACUUUUAGUUGGAGUAUUUUUAAAUGGAUUAACAUUUUGGCCGGGGUCCAUGAUUGAGAAUCUUGAUCAGCCUGCUCCCCUGAAUCCGUCUGCUGUGACAAGAAGAUUGGUUGUUGUGUAUUAUGUCUCUGGAAUAGAAAACAGUUACAUUUUACAAUCCAAGCUAAAGAGCCUAUAAAAAGCUUUGUAUUAUCUGUGUUAUGCAUUUUUUUUUUACUGUGUAAUAACUUGCUCUUUUCAUGGUCAUCAGAUGAUGGGUUCAAUGAGUCAAAAACUAGUUUCUGCA